UACGGAGGAUGCGAGCGUUAUCCGGAUUUAUUGGGUUUAAAGGGAACGCAGGCGGUCUUUUAAGUCUGAUGUGAAAGCCUUCGGCUUAACCGGAGUAGUGCAUUGGAAACUGGGAGACUUGAGUGCAGAAGAGGAGAGUGGAACUCCAUGUGUAGCGGUGAAAUGCGUAGAUAUAUGGAAGAACACCAGUGGCGAAAGCGGCUCUCUGGUCUGUAACUGACGCUGAGGUUCGAAAGCGUGGGUAGCAAACAGG
RNAcentral lists this ribosomal RNA (253 nucleotides) under uncultured bacterium. RNAcentral describes it as "partial 16S ribosomal RNA". It matches the Rfam family "Bacterial small subunit ribosomal RNA", at positions 524 to 776 of the family's 1533-position model. The record is from RNAcentral.